RNAcentral lists this long non-coding RNA (367 nucleotides) under Malus domestica (apple). RNAcentral describes it as "long non-coding RNA (MDOM_LNC011228)". Lineage: Eukaryota; Viridiplantae; Streptophyta; Magnoliopsida; Rosales; Rosaceae. The record is from RNAcentral.
GAACGUUUCUUUAAGCCCAAAACGAUCUUUAUCGCUUUUAUGAUUUCUUUAGACUUUUCUAAAUUAAUUACAACACAUAAUUAAUCCAAUUAAUUGUUUCCAUCGUCCAUUAGUUACUCACUACAAUAGUGUAUUGGUGAACAACCUUUUAGGUUCUAAUUAGCAAGGCAGUGAGGUGAUUGGCAUCAAUCCAAUUGCUCAUAUUUAAUUCAAUCACUUAGUGAAUUAAAACUUCAUUUUAAUUCACCUUUCUUCUUUGACGACUACAUUUAAUCAUCUAGAAGAACUCACAAGCUAUGAGUGACAUCUAACCAUAUGUCAUAGCUACCCAAGCUAAGGUAGAAGUUUAUUCGGAGAACCUAGUCAG